This 361-nucleotide long non-coding RNA is filed under the name Anas zonorhyncha (Eastern spot-billed duck). RNAcentral's name for it is "lncRNA (ENSAZOG00000014396.1)". The record is from RNAcentral. Lineage: Eukaryota; Metazoa; Chordata; Aves; Anseriformes; Anatidae.
CGCCGUUAGAGGAGGUGUUCCUAUGGGCGGGGGGGAGCGCUCUGCCCUGCCUGCUCGCCCUGCCGCGCUAACUGCCGCGCCACUCCCCUCUGCCGCACCACGCUCUGCUUGCCCGUCCUAAUCGCCGCGCUCCCUAGGGGCAGCUUUUGAACGGCCGGGGAGGGGGCGCUGCUGGCUCCGCCUACGCCUCGUUCUCGCCUCGUUCACCUCCCUCACGAGGGCUGCCUCGAGUGGGCUCGGUGCCCUGGCUGUCCGAUCCCCCACCCCUCUGCAGAACGCGUUUGUCCCGGAGCCGAUCGCCUCGGCAAGUAGUUACAAAAGAUAUUUAUUUAUUCACAGUUUUCAGGAAGUGAGGUUUUGA